RNAcentral lists this ribosomal RNA (836 nucleotides) under Pseudomonas putida. Its description in RNAcentral is "bacterial SSU rRNA". It matches the Rfam family "Bacterial small subunit ribosomal RNA", at positions 32 to 863 of the family's 1533-position model. Lineage: Bacteria; Pseudomonadati; Pseudomonadota; Gammaproteobacteria; Pseudomonadales; Pseudomonadaceae. The record is from RNAcentral. RNAcentral also lists the same sequence under 1 other name.
GACGCUGGCGGCAGGCCUAACACAUGCAAGUCGAGCGGAUGAGAAGAGCUUGCUCUUCGAUUCAGCGGCGGACGGGUGAGUAAUGCCUAGGAAUCUGCCUGGUAGUGGGGGACAACGUUUCGAAAGGAACGCUAAUACCGCAUACGUCCUACGGGAGAAAGCAGGGGACCUUCGGGCCUUGCGCUAUCAGAUGAGCCUAGGUCGGAUUAGCUAGUUGGUGAGGUAAUGGCUCACCAAGGCGACGAUCCGUAACUGGUCUGAGAGGAUGAUCAGUCACACUGGAACUGAGACACGGUCCAGACUCCUACGGGAGGCAGCAGUGGGGAAUAUUGGACAAUGGGCGAAAGCCUGAUCCAGCCAUGCCGCGUGUGUGAAGAAGGUCUUCGGAUUGUAAAGCACUUUAAGUUGGGAGGAAGGGCAUUAACCUAAUACGUUAGUGUUUUGACGUUACCGACAGAAUAAGCACCGGCUAACUCUGUGCCAGCAGCCGCGGUAAUACAGAGGGUGCAAGCGUUAAUCGGAAUUACUGGGCGUAAAGCGCGCGUAGGUGGUUUGUUAAGUUGGAUGUGAAAGCCCCGGGCUCAACCUGGGAACUGCAUCCAAAACUGGCAAGCUAGAGUACGGUAGAGGGUGGUGGAAUUUCCUGUGUAGCGGUGAAAUGCGUAGAUAUAGGAAGGAACACCAGUGGCGAAGGCGACCACCUGGACUGAUACUGACACUGAGGUGCGAAAGCGUGGGGAGCAAACAGGAUUAGAUACCCUGGUAGUCCACGCCGUAAACGAUGUCAACUAGCCGUUGGAAUCCUUGAGAUUUUAGUGGCGCAGCUAACGCAUUAA